Molecule: ribosomal RNA, 492 nt
Filed under: uncultured bacterium
Lineage: Bacteria
Description: partial 16S ribosomal RNA
Rfam family: Bacterial small subunit ribosomal RNA
Source: RNAcentral
AGUGAACGCUGGCGGUAGGCCUAACACAUGCAAGUCGAACGGCAGCACAGUAAGAGCUUGCUCUUACGGGUGGCGAGUGGCGGACGGGUGAGGAAUACAUCGGAAUCUACUUUUUCGUGGGUGAUAACGUAGGGAAACUUACACUAAUACCGCAUACGACCUACGGGUGAAAGCAGUGGAUCUUCGGACCUUGCGCGAUUGAAUUAGCCGAUGUCGGAUUAGCUAGUUGGCGGGGUAAAGGCCCACCAAGGCGACGAUCCGUAGCUGGUCUGAGAGGAUGAUCAGCCACACUGGAACUGAGACACGGUCCAGACUCCUACGGGAGGCAGCAGUGGGGAAUAUUGGACAAUGGGCGAAAGCCUGAUCCAGCCAUACCGCGUGGGUGAAGAAGGCCUUCGGGUUGUAAAGCCCUUUUGUUGGGAAAGAAAAGCAGCAGGUUAAUACCCCGCUGUUCUGACGGUACCCAAAGAAUAAGCACCGGCUAACUUCGUG